GCAUUACUUUCUUCAAUAUUUGCAAUCAGGGGGUUUACUUCUUCGUCGAAAUUCUGCACGCAACAUAGAAAUCAGCGUGGAGGAUGCGAUGAAAUAGGCACUGAGUUGGAGGAGAUGGAACUUACUAACAGAUCCCCAGUAGUUGCUAGUGGUACCGGCUCUGUUCCUUCCACGGACUCAGCUGUAGGCUGUGGCUCUUCUUCAGGCUCUGAAGGUAACAACUAAUAAUAUCUCUGCAGCAAACCUGUUUCUCUGAGAAGCAUUAAGCAGUAGGACAAUCCACUUAUCUUGGAGGAUACUUGAAUCAGAUGUAUACGUGUGAAUGAUCGAGAAUUCAAGAUAUGUUCUAGUUUAGUUUAGGGUUGGAAAUUGGUUUGAGGUUGCAUAUUUGUACUCAGCGAGGACGAUGAGCAGCCUCUUCUUCCAUCUUACUGACGCAAUGAACGAGAAAGCCGGUGCUUCGGUGGUACGGAAACUCUGAAAGUGAUAGUCUGAACUUGAUCAAGUCUUCAUCAAGUCUUCAAGAUCAGCACAUUCACCCAGAAAACACAUACUCCUAGUACAGUACAUUUCAACUACUAAUAAGUAAAUACUGCUGGAGAUCCAAUUCAUGUUUAGUCAUUGCUUAAUCAGUACAUAUUCGUGUAUUGUGUAUUCCUUUAUGUGAAAAAGAUUUCUAGGAGCUGGAAGUGUGGGC
Molecule: small RNA, 697 nt
Filed under: Oryza sativa Japonica Group (Japanese rice)
Lineage: Eukaryota; Viridiplantae; Streptophyta; Magnoliopsida; Poales; Poaceae
Description: sRNA Os06g0661300
Source: RNAcentral